Molecule: non-coding RNA, 189 nt
Filed under: Metabacillus harenarius
Lineage: Bacteria; Bacillati; Bacillota; Bacilli; Caryophanales; Bacillaceae
Source: RNAcentral
UAGGAUAAGAAAAAAAUAGGUUGAUAGUUAGUCAUUUUCUAUCAUGAAAAGGGAAGACCGGUGAGAGCCCGGCGCGGUCCCGCCACUGUAAAUGGGAGCAUUUCACAAAACCACUGUUCGUAAUGAAUGGGAAGGGUGUGAAAUGUGUUGAUCAUGAGCCAGGAGACCUGCCUGUUUUUUAUUACACCA